This 367-nucleotide unclassified non-coding RNA is filed under the name uncultured Ascomycota. RNAcentral's name for it is "sequence contains ITS2". The stretch from base 1 to 154 matches the Rfam family "5.8S ribosomal RNA". The record is from RNAcentral. Lineage: Eukaryota; Fungi; Ascomycota.
AACUUUCAACAAUGGAUCACUUGGUUCUGGCAACGACGAAGAACGCAGCGAAAUGCGAUAAGUAAUGUGAAUUGCAGAAUUCAGUGAAUCAUCGAAUCUUUGAACGCACAUUGCGCCCCCUGGUAUUCCGGGGGGCACACCUGUUCGAGCGCCAUUUCUACCCUAGAGCCCUGCUCUGUGAUGGGCCUCGUCCUCGCGGACGGGCCUGAAACCCGUGGGCGCCGUCGUCCGAGCCCGAGCGUAGCAAGAGAAAUCCCUCGCUCGGAUCCUCGUACGGUGGUCGCCCCGAACCCCAUUUUUACAAAAGGUUGGCCUCGGAUCAGGUGGGGAUACCCGCUGAACUUAAGCAUAUCAAUAAGCGGAGGCU